GGCCAGGGGCGGGAUCGAUAUGCCUGGCUCCCUGUAUGCCACUCGCAUGGCUGCCAACUCAUCAUGCAUACACUGCUAGCUAGUCGUUGGCUCCACUGCGGAUGGCGUGCGUGGAGCCAAGCAUGACCGAUCAUCUCCUCCU
This is a non-coding RNA of Zea mays, 142 nucleotides long. RefSeq annotates it as microRNA MIR160d. The transcript has a single exon. NCBI's taxonomy places the organism in Eukaryota, Viridiplantae, Streptophyta, Magnoliopsida, Poales, Poaceae. The record is from RefSeq and is marked provisional.